Long non-coding RNA from Ixodes scapularis (black-legged tick), 361 nucleotides. RefSeq lists it as uncharacterized. The record is from RefSeq and is a predicted model, not a curated record. The transcript is spliced from 3 exons. Lineage: Eukaryota; Metazoa; Arthropoda; Arachnida; Ixodida; Ixodidae.
GGUUUCUUCACGAUCAAUGUGUUCAAGAAAAGCCCACGCUGGGGCAAGUCAGUGACCCUGUCCGGUUGCAACUACGGUUUCUCAACUUCUACCUGGAACAACAAUGGCACACACCUGAGGGAAAAGAACUUUCAAAGGAGGAAGUACUUGCUUGUCAGAAAGUAAUUGGACGUUGCCUAUCACAGAGGCUGAUGGACAUUGCCCGUGACCACCUCGCUCGGAAUGCCUGGCUACAGAUAUGAUGGCGAAUAAUAGGAAACACAACUGUCGCUCUUGUAGCGUCCCAACUCCUGGCUGCUGAAUCUUCCAUGGACUAUCAAGCUGGAGACGAGCUACAGCACAACAGGGGCCUACCGCACCC